GAAGAAACCCAUAGAGAGGUACCAAACCAAAAUAAAUCACCACAAUUGAAGCUCUACUCUUGUACACCAAAGCUCGAUCCGCAACCUAAGCAAUAAAGCUAAACUACUGUUUAUAGCUCUGGCGAGCACUGUUUCUAAUUGGUAUGUAAGCUUAAGCUAUCAGUAAAUGGUGUUGUAAUAUGUGUGAAUUUUUAUUUUGCACAGAAUUAAUUGCUUUCAAGCAUGCUGUUAUAAUUUGAUUUGUACUUCUUUUUUUUUGGUUGAACUA
RNAcentral lists this long non-coding RNA (268 nucleotides) under Ananas comosus (pineapple). RNAcentral's name for it is "long non-coding RNA (ACOM_LNC031796)". Lineage: Eukaryota; Viridiplantae; Streptophyta; Magnoliopsida; Poales; Bromeliaceae. The record is from RNAcentral.